CUCACCUUGAAGUUGCCUCGAUAGUUGAGGUAGAGCGGCUCGAAGAAGUCGUGCGGCUUGGACACGUACGUGCUCAGCUGGAGUGUUUUCAGGAACAACCUGGGAAGACACACGUGCAGCUGUACCUAAUAUAUUGACGGACUCGACCAGGGCUUGGCGUUGGAAGAUGGCGCUCAAAGGGGGCACGUUUGAGUUUUCAAAAUGGCAGCUUCAAACCCUUUUGUAUCCUUUGGCUUUCAACACAUCAUGAGCUCCCUUGUGUUAAUGUUUUAAUAUUUGUAACUUUGUGACUGUUUGAUUGUUGUUAAUUGUUGUGUCUUUUGUUCGAUUGCUAUUCAUGUGCAGCACUUUGUUUCGGCUGUGGUUUGCUUUGUAAAGUGCGCCAUGAAUAAAGUUGAGUCGGGUGUUGCAUUUGCAGAACUGCGGCGUGUGACUUCCUGUCAAGCGAAGCGUGCUUCCCUUCUAAGCGCAGUGUGCGCGCGCGUGCGUGCGUGCGUGCAUGUGUGUGUGUGUGUGUGUGUGUGUGUGUGUGGUUUCUCGCUCUGCAGGUGGUGAUGCCGGGAAAGGGCAAAGCUGAAGCGGUGAGGAGAAACAUCACCACCAUCAUCAUCAUCAUCCUCCGCCGUGUACGGGAGCCUAAUAAAUGAAGUCAGUUGGAGAAAAGCCAGCAAAUCCCCGUGUUUGUUUGAGUACUCACGGUUUUCGAGAGCAACCCAGCAGCAGCGCGGCGGCGGCGGCGGCGACGACGACGGCUAGCAGGACGUACAGCCAGGAUCCUUUCGCUAAUGCGCAGGAGGAAAUCAUCAGGCAAUUCAAAGGUGUGCCUUUAAGGGGCGUGGCCAAGUGAGACAUCAAGACUGCAAGUCCGGUUGACCCAACUUGGGCGGUUGGACUUCACUUCAGGGCGUACCCCGCCUCUCGCCCGAAGAUAGCUGGGAUAGGCUCCAGCACGACCGCGGCCCGCGUGAGGAUAAACAGUUCAUCCGGAAGCAUCUUAACCUGCCUUCCUGUCAACCACAAGUCCCGGUCUGCAGUUUGGGCUUACCCACGUCGUAGAGCGCCCAGGUGGACAACUCGCUCUCCGGGCCGCCCCGUCGGCCGACCGUCGCCGUGCAUUCGGUCCCGACGACGGCGACGUCGUAGAGCGCCGGCGGGUACAUGACGCACCAGGACUGAGGAGGCGUCACCGGGCAGCUGCCGGCCACGUGGAGCUCGCCGUCGCUACGAAAGCACAAGCAGCUUGUGGAAGAUGACUUUGGAAAUGUAGCUAGUUACCAGUUGUAAUAGUACAGGUACAUCUCAUUAAAUCAGAAUAUAUUUCUCGUAAUUUAUUGAGAUGACAUUCCUCAAUAAAUUGUGCAAAAGAAGCCUGCAGAUGACUAUAGAUGUAUUGUUUUCAAAUUUGUAGCGGAACAUUUUCCAGCUAAUAAAGUACAUCUUCAGUCAGCCUCUGUUCCAGAAUUUAUUUAGUUAUGUCAUAUCAAUAAAUUAGAAUCAAUAUAUCCAAAUGUAUUGAGAUGGACCUGUUUGUACUAGUAUGCAGCCAGGUCAGCAUCGCAACUGAGAAUGUGUUCUCAGUGGCCAAAACAUUUCAAUAAAAUGCAUCAUAACUCA
This is a long non-coding RNA of Phyllopteryx taeniolatus (common seadragon), 1614 nucleotides long. RefSeq lists it as uncharacterized. The record is from RefSeq and is a predicted model, not a curated record. Lineage: Eukaryota; Metazoa; Chordata; Actinopteri; Syngnathiformes; Syngnathidae. The transcript is spliced from 5 exons.